UUGACAGAUUGAUUGCUCUUUCUUACAUUCUGUGGGUUGUGGUGCAUGGCCGUUCUUAGUUGGUGGAGUGAUUUGUCUGGUUAAUUCCGUUAACGAACGAGACUACUAACUGUUUAUUUGCGUAAUAAUUACAUAUAUGUUUAUGCUUCUUUAAAAAACUAGUUUUGCAUAAAAAGCUUGAAGUUGGUUGCAAUAACAGGUCUGUGAUGCCCCUAGACGUUCUGGGCUGCGCACGGGCUACAAUAGGAGAAGUACAUUGAUAACUAUCUUAAUUCGAAAAGAGUUGAGAAAUCAUGAAAUUGUCUUAUAAUUGGGCUUACGUAUUGAAAUUUUUAUGUAUAAACAAGGAAUAUCUAGUAAGUCAAGGUCAUUAACGUUGUUUGAAUGCGUCCCUGCCC
RNAcentral lists this ribosomal RNA (398 nucleotides) under uncultured radiolarian. Its description in RNAcentral is "SSU rRNA". It matches the Rfam family "Eukaryotic small subunit ribosomal RNA", at positions 1240 to 1658 of the family's 1831-position model. The record is from RNAcentral.